This 1478-nucleotide ribosomal RNA is filed under the name Kushneria indalinina. RNAcentral describes it as "16S ribosomal RNA". It matches the Rfam family "Bacterial small subunit ribosomal RNA". Lineage: Bacteria; Pseudomonadati; Pseudomonadota; Gammaproteobacteria; Oceanospirillales; Halomonadaceae. The record is from RNAcentral.
UAGAGUUUGAUCAUGGCUCAGAUUGAACGCUGGCGGCAGGCCUAACACAUGCAAGUCGAGCGGUAACAGGGGUAGCUUGCUACCCGCUGACGAGCGGCGGACGGGUGAGUAAUGCAUGGGUAUCUGCCCGGUAGUGGGGGAUAACUCGGGGAAACCCGAGCUAAUACCGCAUACGUCCUACGGGAGAAAGCAGGGGAUCUUCGGACCUUGCGCUAUCGGAUGAGCCCAUGUCGGAUUAGCUUGUUGGUGAGGUAAUGGCUCACCAAGGCCGCGAUCCGUAGCUGGUCUGAGAGGAUGAUCAGCCACACCGGGACUGAGACACGGCCCGGACUCCUACGGGAGGCAGCAGUGGGGAAUAUUGGACAAUGGGGGAAACCCUGAUCCAGCCAUGCCGCGUGUGUGAAGAAGGCCUUCGGGUUGUAAAGCACUUUCAGUGGGGAAGAAGGCAUGGUGGUUAAUAACCACCAUGAAGGACAUCACCCACAGAAGAAGCACCGGCUAACUCCGUGCCAGCAGCCGCGGUAAUACGGAGGGUGCAAGCGUUAAUCGGAAUUACUGGGCGUAAAGGGCGCGUAGGCGGCUUGCCAAGCCGGAUGUGAAAGCCCCGGGCUCAACCCGGGAACGGCAUUCGGAACUGGCAGGCUAGAGUGCAGGAGAGGAAGGUGGAAUUCCCGGUGUAGCGGUGAAAUGCGUAGAGAUCGGGAGGAAUACCAGUGGCGAAGGCGGCCUUCUGGACUGACACUGACGCUGAGGCGCGAAAGCGUGGGUAGCAAACAGGAUUAGAUACCCUGGUAGUCCACGCCGUAAACGAUGUCGACCAGCCGUUGGACCCCUUGAGGGUUUGGUGGCGCAGUUAACGCAAUAAGUCGACCGCCUGGGGAGUACGGCCGCAAGGCUAAAACUCAAAUGAAUUGACGGGGGCCCGCACAAGCGGUGGAGCAUGUGGUUUAAUUCGAUGCAACGCGAAGAACCUUACCUGCUCUUGACAUCCUGCGAAUCUCCCAGAGAUGGGAGAGUGCCUUCGGGAGCGCAGAGACAGGUGCUGCAUGGCUGUCGUCAGCUCGUGUUGUGAAAUGUUGGGUUAAGUCCCGUAACGAGCGCAACCCCUAUCCCUUUUUGCCAGCGGUCCGGCCGGGAACUUCAGGGAGACUGCCGGUGACAAACCGGAGGAAGGUGGGGACGACGUCAAGUCAUCAUGGCCCUUACGAGCAGGGCUACACACGUGCUACAAUGGCCGGUACAAAGGGUUGCGAAGCGGCGACGUGAAGCCAAUCCCAUAAAGCCGGCCUCAGUCCGGAUCGGAGUCUGCAACUCGACUCCGUGAAGUCGGAAUCGCUAGUAAUCGUGGAUCAGAAUGCCACGGUGAAUACGUUCCCGGGCCUUGUACACACCGCCCGUCACACCAUGGGAGUGGACUGCACCAGAAGUGGUUAGCUUAACCUUCGGGAGAGCGAUCACCACGGUGUGGUUCAUGACUG